UUCUAACCCUUGUAACCUCAGGUACUACUACAAAGCAGAAAGGAUCUCUGUAAGUUAGUUAAUAGCACCAUGCCGUGCCUCUUGUGCUGCAAGACUUCUAGUUCUUCAACUAAAAAAAUAUACGUUUCGCUUGGCAUGCUUUCUGGAUGUGGUAUUACAUGAUAUCAGUCCUAAAAAAGUAAAACUUUCUUCUAUUGUCAGUUCAAUUUUCUCUAGUAUGUAUGUUCUGGAGAUGAUGCAUGUUUGUUUGCUUUUUAUCAUGAUAUAUAGAAAGAUGCUGGUAGCUGUAGUACCUAUACUACAACAGUUCAUUGACAAAAAAUAUAUCAGUUCAAUACAUACUUGGAAAAAAGCUCAAUACUAAGUGUUCUCUGCCUAUCCUUACAUUAGCUAGUCUUCACCAUGUUCAGAUAGUACCUAGAAGAAGUUAACUCAUGCAUUUCCAUAAAACUAUGUACUGAUAAAUCAGAACUCGUGCAUUUCCAUAAAAUUAUGUAUGUUUCGUGUGUGUGCUUCUACAAAUCUGAAAUACUUUUCCAAUCAUACUAGUACUGAUGCAAUCACCUAAAAACGUUGAAGAAAAAUUAUGUAAGUUUGGUGCGUGUGCUGCUACAAAUCUAAACUUCUUGUCCAGUCAUUCUAGUACCGAUGAAGAUCGAGUUGACGGAAAUAAUGUAGUCGAUACCUGAGACCCUUAAUAGUCCUAUAUAUAUAAGUUGUGCCUGAUAGCCAUACAUGAUUUUUCUCUUUGUUGCCUGCUUGUUUUUGUAAAAUUCUUUGAACUUAUUUAGGUGAUAUAUUUUGACCUUUGCCUCGUCAGUACAACAGCACGCUCCCCAGCCGGUCACGAGAAGAGCUGCGUGCAGGCCCCCUGUGCUCUAUCCUCGACCCGCCUCAGUCAUCUCCCUCUCAUCCUCUCUCUGCUCCGUGUGUGUGUGUGUGCAGGGAGUGGGAGCAGAUAGAGCAGGGGAGUGGGAGGCCCUUCCAUGGUGAAUUCAUAGGCAUCUUCCAUGGAGCACAAGUAGCAAUUCCCAGCUGAGAGAACCCUCAUGUUAAAAAGUAUAAAAGCAGUUUUGAAGCAAUUCCCAGUGUCUUUAGAAGCAUUCAUGGUUAAAAAGCAACGACUACCUCCUCCGUUCGAGUUGAGCACUGGUCAUCGUCCAAGUUGAGCACUAGGUGUCGUCCAAGUUCAAAGAGGGUUGUAUGCAAGUACAGAAGUUUGUUUUAGUGAGAAAAUGCGGCGUUUUCACAAUAUUAUGUAUGAUUCAUUUGUUCAACCUUAGACUUGGCGAUAUUCAGUCUAUUUUUCUAUGAUGAAGGCACACAUGAAGUCAUGUGCAAUGGUUAUACCCCUAGUGUUUCAAAGAUUCGUAUUUUGUUUCUUCAAAUGUGUUGUGCGCGUGUUUGAUGAGGUAAAACAAAGUAAAAUAGUGAAAUGGCAUUAAAGACAUUUGGAAGUACAAAUGUAAAAAAUAAAUAAGUUCUGAUUCUUGGCAGGUAGGAAGUUUGGAGAAGAAAACAUAAGUUUUUAAAAGAAGGGAAUGGUGAAAAUGUAAGCCCGUUCAACUAAUAAACAUUCUUUUUAUGUUCCUGUGAUGUUCCAUAUUUUUGUGAACUGAUAGUUGAUGCUCUUUGUGGACUGAUAGCUGAUACUUUUUGUUAACCGAUAAACUGAAUAAAUGAGAUGGAUGUAUUAUCAGGCCGUGAAAAUGAUGUAAAAAAUAUGUGCAGUUCAGCGGAUGAGUAUUAUGUAUGUCCUUCUAAUCUGAAGGUAGUGGCACCACUAAGAAAAACAAAAUAAUCAGUUUUUUGUAGCCACGGAAUGGGCAUUUGGCUCGGUAAUCUUCCGUUGCUAGAGGUACUGCCUCUUGAGUUAAUUUAUGAAACUGAAAUCAUCCUUUUUAUGUUUUCGUGUUGUCAAAUAAAACCAAUUUUUUUGGACAUGCAGCGCUCAAGCCGUUCACCCUUACCACCACAAGUCGUUCACCUCCGCCACACGAGGCCGUGCGAUGAUGCAACUAUCAGAACGUUCACCUCUGCCAUAGGAGGCCGAUGCAACGCUAAGAAUGUUUUGUUCUUUUUCAGUACAUGUUUUGUGUGCUUUUUAGUACACCUACUUAACGAUUCUAUGUCCAAUUUCCCCUGUUUAAGUGUUCUUCCUAUAGCACAACAGGAGUUGUGUGUUAUGCCUUAAUAAGCAUUUGAGAAAACCUUGUAUGGAUCGAAACUAGCAUAUGUUCUGUUCUAUUCUUGUAAAUGAAGCUCCACUUUUGUUUUGUUUGAGGUUACUUGACAUAAAAAUUAGUAUAUGUUCUAUUGUAAAAACAUAUCUAAAAUGUCAUGAUGCAUGCUAGCAGAAAUCUGAAAAUACACUCAGUUCAGUUCCUAUAUUUUAUUUCAGUUCAAUUUAGAACUAUUUGCAACUGUUCAGACUCGAGUGUUCCUAUAUUUUAUUUCAGUUCAAUUUAGAAGUA
Aegilops tauschii subsp. strangulata is the source of this 2474-nucleotide long non-coding RNA. RefSeq lists it as uncharacterized. The record is from RefSeq and is a predicted model, not a curated record. NCBI's taxonomy places the organism in Eukaryota, Viridiplantae, Streptophyta, Magnoliopsida, Poales, Poaceae.